Molecule: signal recognition particle RNA, 299 nt
Filed under: Phascolarctos cinereus (koala)
Lineage: Eukaryota; Metazoa; Chordata; Mammalia; Diprotodontia; Phascolarctidae
Description: Metazoan signal recognition particle RNA (ENSPCIG00000030095.2)
Rfam family: Metazoan signal recognition particle RNA
About the family: The signal recognition particle (SRP) is a universally conserved ribonucleoprotein.
Source: RNAcentral
GCCAGAUACAGUGGCACAUACCUAUAAUCCCAGCUACUGGGGAGGCUGAAACUGGUAUAGAUCUCUUGAGCUCAGGAGUUCUGUGCUGUUGUGAGCUAAGCCCAAUUGGUAUGCGCACUAAUCAUGGCAUUAAUAUGGUGAGCCCUCUGGGAAUGGGGUCCACCAGGUUGCCUAAGAGGGACACACAGGUCAAGACUGGAAAACAAGGCAGGUCAAAGCUCCUGUGUCAAUCAGAGUGGGACCCAUCUAUGAAUAACUCUGGCAUUCCAGCCUGGUUUCGAAAGAGAAAACCAGCCUUU